Molecule: non-coding RNA, 45 nt
Organism: Schistosoma mattheei
Lineage: Eukaryota; Metazoa; Platyhelminthes; Trematoda; Strigeidida; Schistosomatidae
Source: Rfam
UUCCAGCUGACGAGUCCCAAAUAGGACGAAACACGCGUCCUGGAU